RNAcentral lists this long non-coding RNA (581 nucleotides) under Bos taurus (domestic cattle). RNAcentral describes it as "long non-coding RNA NONBTAT018963". Lineage: Eukaryota; Metazoa; Chordata; Mammalia; Artiodactyla; Bovidae. The record is from RNAcentral.
AAUAUUGAAAUCCUAUUUAUUAACAUAUUUCAAACACAAGGUUCCCAUGGAUUUUUAAGUCAUGUCAGAAACAUAUAAACAUGUCUUCUUUCUAUCACUUUGUAAAGAAAACCACAAAAGAGAAAUUUACUGACAUAGACAAAUUCUGUAAGACAAGGCGAUAGAUAAUACAAAAUUAGAAUAACAUAAAUUGUGUAGAAGUUCAUAGGGGAGGAACUCCUGUCAGCCUGGAUAACAAGGGCGAAACCGAAAGGAGAACAAAUUGGAAUUAAACCUCUAUUAUCAUCUUUACAAAUAUAUUCAGAAGAAGACUGAGGAGGAGCAAAAUUUCAGGGGGACAGAGUCACAAUGAUGAUGACAGGCUGAAAGAGAGGCACAUGUAUUUUAACACCCCAGGCAGUGAGCACACUAUAACAUUAGUGACAAGAGUAUAUGCAGAUGUAUGAACCACUUCUGGGUGAGGGCUGGGAACAGUGAAUAAACAUAUACAAUUUGUUGGUAUUUGAAGAAUGUUUAAAUUGCCAUGGUAUUAAUAUCGACUAACUCUUCUCUUCCUGAUCUUAGGAUAAUUCCCUCAUGCC